UCCCAGGAGGACUAGUGGUUAGGCCACAGCGCACUCACCGCUGCGGCCCGGGUUCGAUUCCUAGCCAGGGAA
This 72-nucleotide transfer RNA is filed under the name Pangasianodon gigas (Mekong giant catfish). RNAcentral describes it as "tRNA-Glu". Lineage: Eukaryota; Metazoa; Chordata; Actinopteri; Siluriformes; Pangasiidae. The record is from RNAcentral.